This 252-nucleotide ribosomal RNA is filed under the name uncultured bacterium. Its description in RNAcentral is "partial 16S ribosomal RNA". It matches the Rfam family "Bacterial small subunit ribosomal RNA", at positions 524 to 776 of the family's 1533-position model. The record is from RNAcentral.
UACGUAGGUCCCGAGCGUUGUCCGGAUUUAUUGGGCGUAAAGCGAGCGCAGGUGGUUUAUUAAGUCUGGUGUAAAAGGCAGUGGCUCAACCAUUGUAUGCAUUGGAAACUGGUAGACUUGAGUGCAGGAGAGGAGAGUGGAAUUCCAUGUGUAGCGGUGAAAUGCGUUGAUAUAUGGAGGAACACCGGUGGCAAAAGCGGCUCUCUGGCCUGUAACUGACACUGAGGCUCGAAAGCGUGGGGAGCAAACAGG